Molecule: ribosomal RNA, 69 nt
Filed under: Candidatus Wolfebacteria bacterium
Lineage: Bacteria; Candidatus Wolfeibacteriota
Description: partial 16S ribosomal RNA
Rfam family: Bacterial small subunit ribosomal RNA
Source: RNAcentral
AAAUUUGAGAGUUUGAUCCUGGCUCAGGAUGAACGCUGGCGGCGUGGAUAAGGCAUGCAAGUCGAACGA